RNAcentral lists this long non-coding RNA (10820 nucleotides) under Homo sapiens (human). RNAcentral describes it as "HSALNT0143359". Lineage: Eukaryota; Metazoa; Chordata; Mammalia; Primates; Hominidae. The record is from RNAcentral.
CCACAAUCUAUGUCUAGGAAGGGUGGGGCCGCUCAGGCUGCUAGUUGAGGUUGAGAACCACUGUCCUAGUCUGAAGGAACCUCUUGUGGAACAUUGGCAAGACCCUUACUGAGCAGAAGCCUAGCACCCUGAGCAUCCAGGAGAAGAAAAUAUUUGUGAUCUACGGGCUCAGUGAAGAAUUAUGGAGGACUUCAGGAUCUAGAAGGAAGCUUUGCAUGGAUUAGAUAAUUCAAUAAUAUUUAUCAAAUCAAAGUUGGGAGUCAAAAGAGAAUUUGGAAGCUUUGAUCAUCAGGAAAGAAGAUGGAGUUUAUUGACCCAAUGGAAGAGAAAAGCCACUUUUCUGUAAAGUGUAAGGCGUGGUAUCCAAGGCUACUCUCUGGAGACGACCAUAGGCUUCACCUGGGAGUUGUGAGAAAUGCAAACUCUCAACCCCAUCCCAGACCCUCUGAAUCAAAAGCUGCAUUUUAAAACAUGUCCUGUGCACAUUAAGCUUUAAGAGGCAUGGUUUUAGAGCACAGGCUUUGUAUCCCUGGAAUCAAAGUUCAAGUCUUUCACUUAUCAGCUAUACAAACUUAAGCAAGACAUGCGAAGUUUUUGAGACUCACUGUUUCUGUGAAACAGGCAUAUUCAUAUACACUACCUACUAGAGUUGUGAAGUUCAAAUGAACAAAAAAGAAUAUUGGACACAAGUCAUGGUGCCUGACUUUAUACAGUAAGAGUUUAAUUGUUUGAUGCUAUUAUUUUCUGAAAUUUCCAUCUCUUCAUUCAGGAAAAAAUGUUGGUUGGACAACGGACAAUCACCUCCUAUCAAAUCCAUAAUUUGAAGAUUGACUAAGUCACCUACUUUGCAUUCAGAUGUUGAUAAUUAUCAAGCCAGCCUAGGUUAAAACAAGUUUUUUACCUUUUACAAAUAUAUUUUUUUAAGAAUUGUGUAUCUUGGGGACAAAACAUUAUAAUAAGGUUAAUGAGAAAAGGAGCAACACAAAUCUGUUUUCAUUAAUCUUAACAGAGCUUUAAUCACAGCACAGGGGGAAACAGCUGCUCUGGAAGGGAGACUAGGAGCAGAUCAGUAGAAGCUGAUUAUCCAUUAAUGAGAGGGCUUUGGUGGGGAGCCCUGUGGAAAACCCACCAGACUCAAUCCUGCCAGCCAUUUGCUGAAGAGGUGGUGUAUAUGAAUCGCUUGUUUGAUGUAAAAAAUUCAAAACAGAUUCUUCUCAGCAGCCUGGGGACUGUCAUACAUCACUGAUCUCUUAUCUGUUUAUGUUAAGGAAAUAGCAUCCUUCAGUAAGUAAAUGUGUGUGGUAUUUAAUUAAACUCAUUGCUGAGCUCUGUGUGUGUGUGGCUAGUCCUCAUUUGGGGAUUAUCGGACUGUUGCAUUUUGCCUUUUUUCUCAUUUUUUCCUUCUUCUAGCAUUUCUUCCUCCAGCUCAGAAUUGCAGGAGCUUUAUGUUAUAUGGAGUAUCAUGGGAAGUACUUUAGCAUUUUUUUUAUUGCACACAUUAUUUAGAAAAGGAAACUGAGGCUCAGAGAGCUGAAGUCACUUGUCCAAUGUCCUCUAGCUUAAAGAAUUAUAUUAUUUAAACCUAGGUUCUGGGUGGUUUCAUAGCCUAAGCUUGUAACCACUUAUGCAAUAUGUGUAUAAAGUAAAAACUAACUAUGGUAUAUUGCGGUGGUUCUCAGAGUUAGUCCCCAGACCAGCAGCAUCAGCAUUGCCUGGGGACUUGUUAGAAAUACAAAUUGUUGGGCCCUGCCACAGAUCUAUCAGAAACUUAGGAAUGCAGCCUGGGAAGCCCUCUGAGUGAUUCAAAUGGAUGCUAAAGCUUGAGAGCCAUUGGUAUUUAGUUGGUAUGCUAGGUACUAAGAAUUUAGAAAGACAAAAAAAAAAUCGGUUCUUUGAUUUUGGGGAGUUCAGAGUCUAGUAGAGAAGACUAAAAUAUAAAGACAAUUAUAAUAAUAUUUUAUUAGUGUAUUAUAAGUGCAGUGAGAUAGUAUACACAAAAAAAUAGGAAAGUGCGGAUUAAGAUACUAACCUGGGUGGGAAGUGAAAGCUUAUUGGAAAAUGUGAUGCUUAAACUGAAUCUUAAAGCAUGAGAAGUCUCUGGCUGCAGUGACAGGAGAAAGUAUUUUAGGCAGGGGGACAGCAUAAACAGAAGAUGAAAUGAACAUGAAUACUGUCUAUGAAACAGCAGUCACUUUGGGGAUGCUGGAGUAGGAAGUAUAAUGAAGGAAGCAGUGAUGAGUUCAUGUGGCGGACAGUGAGCUGCCCUCUGUCACUCUGCAAUUUGACCCCCACCUGCUGAAGCUCAGGAGUUUGGCUUCUUGAAGCCCUGGCUUGGAUAUUUUACAGUCAUUUGUCAAUUUAUGGCAUUUACAACUGCCUUGUGGUUCCAGAUGAGGGGCACCACAUAUCACAAAGGCUUGUUCUUCAUGAUCUAUUGAGCACCCAGUAAUUCAUGCACGUUAUUUAUACCACUCACUCAUUUCUCCUUCUUUCUCAUGAAGUCGUCCAUGCCAUUAACAUUAGCUAGCAGACAUCAAGCUGCCUAGUGGAUAAAAUGUUGUUUGACAAGGGCUCAGUGGCUAGGGAUGUAACUCAUAGUUUUUAUCAUAAAUUUCAACUCAAUUAUUUGUUUUCCCAGGUAAUCUAUCAGUGAAUAAUAUACCCACAUCACAGGACUUUGGCCUGUGAAUUUGGUCUGUUUUCCAGACCAGUAUUUUAGCAUGGGCAUGGGUGACAUUUGAGCACUUAAAAUAAAAUAAUGCAGCUACAUUCUCUCUGGCAUGGUGGAAUGAACAUGGAAUUGGGAAUAAGAGAGACCAGGUUUCUAGCCCCAACUCUGUACUUUACAACUGUGUCCACUAAAUGACAUUGGAAGGCCUAUUUGUUAAUCCUGUGAAGCUUCAUUUUUUAAAAAUCUGCAUUGGCUCUCCAAAAUGUGCCUGGAAGUUGCUGCAAUUCUCAGAAUGUCUGAGAAGCUCCCCAACAGUCUUAGUCUGCAGCCAUGAGGCAAAUAAUUCUCAGCAAUUUUCUAGGAAGCUGCUUUGAUACUCACAUGUGCAUGUUCAUCUGGCAGCCACCACCUCCAGAGAAUAAAGCUUCCGAUUUACUUCCACUUUCCAGACUCCACAGAUGUUCCUCUCCUUGGCAAAAUGUAGCCCAGAUCUAAAUGGAAGGUGAUUCUGAGACAUGUAGUUGGCAACCUUAGCAGGACAUGGUGGUGCCACCCGGUUGAUAACAGACAUCUCAGCCCACUUUCCACUACACAGGAGCCAAAUGAUCUUCUUUAAAUCCCAAAACAGAGUAUUUCACAACCAGGCUUCAAAUGACUCAGUGGCUUCCCAUUUCUCUUAGAAUAAAACCCAAAUUCAUCCGGAUGGCCUGAAAAGCUUGUCCAGCCGAUCUCUUCAAUUUCAUCUAAUUCUAGCUUUCCCUUUCAUCAUUAUGUACAGCCAAACUGACUUUUAUUCCUUUUUUUUAACAUGCCAAACAUUUUACCACCUCAAAAUUCUUAUAGUUACUGUUCCUUCUGUUUAGAAUAUCUUCCACCUUGAUUUUUCUUAUCCUUUUAUCUCAACACUCUAAAGAGUCCUCCCCCAGUUUCUUUUUGUCGCCCCUUUUGUUUUCUUCAGUGGAUUUAUUGCAAUCUGCUCUUUUUGUGUGUUUAGUUAUUAUCUGUCACACUCACUGGAAUAUAAGCUCAGUGAAAGCUGGUACUAUAUUUAUCAAUUGCCCCCCUAGUUCUCUGUCUUGGCUUAGUUACCAAUUUUCCUCUUGGAACAUAGAUCAUCAUAGGCUGAAUUUGCUGCUUCAAAUAAUCAGAGGGCAUCAGUUUUUUUAGUGCUCAAGAUCCUAUAGUUAUUGUACCAGCCUUAAUGAAAGUACAAAGGAGAUAAGGGCAAGACGUGCUCUUUGCAAUGCUUAAACAGUUUUAGUAUAUCUCAAGCAAAGAAUCCUAAUAAAUCCAAAAUUCGACAGCUUUUUACUGUUGGUGUUCUACAACCUCUCUUUCCUCUCACUACCUGGAAUAGUCAGAAAUCUCAUGUUAAUUUAUGAACCCUGAUGUCAUCAUCAGGACUGGACUGUGGACUGAAAGAAGAUAAAUACCAAUAAUAAUUACCAAAUGUUGGAUAACUAUCAUAUGCCAACAAUAUGAUAAAUUAUUUAUGAACCUCACAAUAUUGCAUGGAAAAUAAUUAUCUCACUUUUCCAAAUUAUUUUUGUAAUUUUUCUAAUUUUUAAAAUAAUUUUCUAAUAAUUUUUAAAAAUUAUUUUUAUAAAAAUUAAGAACUUGACCAAAGUCACAGAGGUUAUUUGAGGUUAAACUAGGGUUUAAAUCUUGGUCAGUUUGGUUCUAACGCCCAAAUUUACUUCCCUGUUUCUGCCGUAUUCUAGGUCUCUUUUGAUUUUAUAAUACGUUGUGUUCGUGAUAGCAUUAUUUAUCUCACCCUGUAUUCACACUCUUUGUCGUUUUACUCUGGGUUAAGCUGUAAGACUGCUGUUUAGACUGGCUUUGGCCAAUAGAAUGAGGUAGGAGUUCUAGAUCUGAGCCUGGUCCUCACAUGAGUAUGCUCACCCUCUUAUUUGUCUGCCUAGACUAGUUCUUUGGUUUAGGAGAGAAUGAGAGACACAUCAAUGCAGAGCCAUCCUCAACUAGACCCAGCCAUGCUUCUCCAACCCCCCAAAAGGCUAUACUCAUGUGAGAGCUCAUCCAAGUACAGCAGUACAGCCCAGUUGAGCCCAAACAAGAUCAAUGAAGCCUCAGGAAACCAAACACAGUCAAUAAGCCCAACCAAGGUCAGCAGAACAGUCUAGCUGAGCCCAGCCUGGAUAAGCCAAUUCCUAGCUGACUCAUACGCUCAAAAAAAUGAUAAAUGAUUGCCAUUUUAACCAUGGUAUGCCGGGGUUGUUUCUUUCACAGUAAUAACAAAUUGAUACAGACACUAAUUAGCUCUGCAAAUGUGCUUAAAAAUAAUGCUUACAACCAUUUAAUAAGACUUUAUGUAUGAGACACAGUGCAGAACACUUUACAUUCAUUAUCCCUUUAGAUCUUAUUCAAAACCUCUCUGAGGGUUUCACAGAUGAGAAAAAUUAGAUGAAUAGAAAUGAAAUAACUUAGUCAAGUUUACACAGCUUGUUUAAGUGGCAGAGUUGGAAUUUAAACCUAAGUCUAUCUGGCUCUGAAGUUGUUCUUUUUUUGUUUUACCAGGUUGACUUUAUUCAUAAUCUAGACUUCACAUAGAAAAUAAUCAGCUGUGUGAAUAUGACUGAGUUCUCUGGGUCCAUUUUCUUCAACUACAAACUAGAGGGAACUAAAUAUCUUUUUUUCUUCUUACCUUCUUUGGUUCUAUGUUCCUACAUACAAAAGUUAUUUGAGGGCAGUUGGAGUUAAAGCAUGUAUGCAGUUUGAUGAUAAUGAUGAUGACGAUGACAAUGACAACAUAUAUCACAGAGAUGAAAGCAUGGACAUACUUUUUCCAAGAAAGAGAACUAAGACAAUUGUUGCAAGUGAGUGUAAAAAUUAACUCUGAAAACUUAUAUGUAAAACAGAGGAAUAAAUCUGGGCCACAAAAUCUUCCUUUCUAAUGCAAUAAACAACAACAACAACAGCAACAAAAAAGUGUCAGCCAAGAAUAUCAAAUUUAUCAAAUAAGCAAGAAACUAGAUAUAACGUGGGGCUUCAAAGAGCGGAUUUCAAGAUCUCAGCAGAGGCACAUGCCUUUGUGCACUCUUCUGCCCUCUCUCCUAUCUCUAUAUGCAACACAUAUACAAAGGACAUCUCUCUCUAUAUAUCUAUAUCUCAUACACAUAAACUAUCAUAUAUGUGCCAUUAUAUGUAUAUAUAUUCACAUACAUAUUCCAUAUAAAAUAUGGAUUCAAUAAUUAAGAGUUAAAAUAUGACUAAAUAAGAGAAUAAUAUGAAAAAGGAGAUAGAUGACAAAAUAAUACCAUUGUAGAACUAAUAUGUAAAUUAGGAACAACAAGAAACAGAUGAGACAUAUCAGGAAAUUGAAAUUAGUUACAAAAGAAAGCUUCGUGGUAUCAUAGGAAUUGUCAAUAAAGGGCUCUUAAAAAAUAAAAAGUUCUUAGAGACUUGACAAUACAUAGUGUGGUUACAUCGAACAGAACUGCAGCCACCCAGGCAUAAAGGGAAAUUUGCUUAUAAGGAGGAAAAUCAAAUUUACCUCAAUGUUCUCUGUAGCACCAAUUAUGCCAGAAGACAAUUGAGCCAAGUUUGCAUAAUUCUAAAAGAAAAUUAAACACAGUGUAAAAGUAUAUCAAAUACAAAGUCACAGGGAGAUAUUCUUGAACAAGAGCCCUUCUUAGCAAAAAUAAUUGAUGAAAUCCUGUAAACCAAAAAGGCAUUGUGAAGAGAACUAGCAAAGUAGUAAAGAAAUAUGUGUAAGCAGUUCAGAAAUACUUUUGCUGCCAGUGCAAUUCCUUUAUCUUUUGAUAAGUUAGAAAAAGUAUUUUAAAUAAUAUGAAAUAUAGUCCAUAACAGAAAUAUUUUAAGGCAUACAGAUUAUAAGAUAGUUAUAUAAUUUUUAUUCUCAUGGCUAUAUUAAGAUAGAUAUCUUGAAUACUAUGUAAUGUUAAUUAUUAAUAUUUAUAGAGGUGGUUUUAGAUGAUUUUAUUAACUUGUUAUUUGUUGCUAUUUCUUGAUUUUUGAAAAUAUGUACAUGUAAAUAUAUAGUUAAUUCAUCAUUAUUAUAUUUAAAGAGCAGAAGAAAAAAAUUAGAUCUUAAUGUGCACAUGUACCCUAAAACUUAAAGUAUAAUAAUAAAAAAAAAUUAGAUCUUAACUUACUAUAAGUAAGCUAUAAGUAAGAGAUGGUAGAGAUGGAGAAAUAGAAAAAGCAAUAAAGAAAACUUUCUGUUAGUGUGGCAUGGUAAAAGGAGCGUUCUCCUUCUAUGAGCAUCUGUUACCUAGUAGAUAUUAGGAAAAUCUGAUUUUCCUCCUUAUAAGCAACUUUCUCUUUAUACCUGGGUGCCUAGCAGGUCUGUUGCAGGUAACCACACUAUUGCCAAGUCUCGAAGAAUUUCUCUCUUAUUAUUGAUCAUCACUAUGAUAUCACAAAGCUUUCUUUUGUAACUAAUUUCAACUGGGUCUCUUGCUUUACUCUCUAUAACUUAGUUCCAUCAUCUACAUGGGUGGGGAUAUGUUGUUACCUCAGAGUUGGCUGUAGUAAUGAAAUGAAACAAUGUAUGUGAUAAGGUCAAAACAAUUUUAUGAAUAUGUUCACUUCUCUUCUCUCCUUCCCCUGACAAGCAGGAGUGUUCUGAUUUUCCAAGACAAAUCUUGGAUUAAAGGAUAGUUAAUGGAGAAUACAGUGAAGAGAAAAUGGAAAAUAGCAGGGAGUACAGACCGCCCUUGGUAGUGGAAUUGGUUACAUGUGUUUCAUUUGUUUAGGAAAAAAUGUGUCCAAAUUACUGUCUGCAGUUGUAACCUCCCAGUUCCCAUUCAUGUGGUUCUAGGGUGGGGCUGAAAUCUGGACUUGGGAGGUGGCACAUAUCUGCUUGUCCACGGUGAUUCAGAAAUAAACAAGUGGCAUAAGUCAGAUGGAACAGAGAGAUUCCAGGGUCUUUGAAGGGCCUGAGGAAGACGAUCUUUCUCUUCUGAAUCUGAAUCUAAGACACUGAAGCCUGGAACCACUCACCUCUGCAUCUUGCCAAUCAAAGAGAGAAGCCUCCUGAGAGUGGAACCAACACAAAGCCAAUAUCAGGAGGAAACAAUUCAACCCAUUGGAUCCAGCAGGGCUCAACUUUGUGUUACUGAGCUAAUUAAUCCCCUUUUAUUUGCAAGAGGAAGAGUUGGUUUAGCUAUUUGCAAUGCAAAGAGUCCUAAUUGAACAGAUGGGAUUGUUUCUCUUUGUCUUUACAUUUGUUUGUGUAUUUGUUUUUGUUUGCUUGUUUAGUACAGGUAUGGAAGUAACUACAGUGUGUGAGACCACAGAUGAGAUAAAAAGAAUAUUGAGAAAUAUUUCUGGACACUAUUGGUUUCCAGCGUGGAACCUGCCUGAUGAACUUCAAGAAAUAUAAGCAGAUGACUAACAUUAUUUUAAAAUUAGCUUUAGUGGUAUGAAUUUUACUUUUUUCUCCACUUUUUAGUACUCUAGGACUAAGAGCCAUUGUUUGUGAUUUUAUUGCUAAAACAUUGAAAACACCAUUUUAAGGGCUUUGCUCAUACCAUUCUCUUAUUUGGGAAAGUCAUAACUCUUUCCCUGCCUUCCCUGCUGCACAAGCUCCCUUUGUUCAGACUAUGCUCCUACCCAGGCUCCAGUACCACUCAGUUCCAGCAUUUCCCCAUCCAUUAAUGCCAACCUUUAGUUCACCAAAUGGGCUCCCCUGCAUGUCCGUGGCAACCACUUCUUACGUCUCUCAAUACAUUUGCCACUUGGUGAUACAAUAGUCUCCCACUAGGCUAUAAGCUCUUUGAAGACAGGAAUUCACCACAUCAUAUUUCUGUUUUUAGUACUUAUCACAGACCUGGCCUAUGGUAGGUGCAUGGGAAAUCUUCUUUUAACCUCCUUUCUCCCCUCAAAUUCACUCUCCCUAUUUACCUAUGCUAUCUUGUUUAUUGAUGGCAUCACCUCUUGCCCUGUGGUUCACACUCAGGUUUGGCUAAUGGGAAGCAGGAGAUAAAAGGGAGAGAAAGUGAGGUUGAGAUGUUUUUCUGUUGACUUUUUCUACCAACCCACCGUGGGUUGGUAGAAACUCUCUACUUGAGGCUAAUAAUGUGAUGUAUCUAUCGCCCACCAGGUUACUUAAGGGGUGUAUGUCUGCUGCCUAAACCCUAAAGGCUGGGUGCUGAACCAAGGCCCUGGUGCCCAGUGGAGGAGCAGGUAUCCCUGAGAACCCAAACAUUUGGAGAGUGUCUAAGAAUCUACCAAGAAAACUAGUCUCAUUGCUCAAACACAGUAGACAAAGAGCGAGAAAAGUAGCUUAAAAACAGUUUAGAGACAGAAGUAGUGCAGAUCUCUAGAGCUGUCCUGCUGUAGUCCAGGAGUACCCUGUAUGUAAGUUUUAAUAAACUCAUCUACUUGUCAAGCUGGACUUGUCUGAGUCAUUCUUAGGUCUCUCAGCACCUUCCCAGUUUGGGGGUGGGGGACAUUACAGUCCCAAGUCUUUCUUGUAACAAUUGGUGUCAUGAAUAGGAUCCAAGGAACCAAACGAUGAGUCAGGAAGGAGUGUGUGCAUGGGAAAUCCGGGGUGGUUUGCAACAUGCACCAAGGGUGGAGUUGCCUGACUGCUCAACCUCUGUGGGCCACCACGUGAGUACAAAGAUGCUCAGAAAACUUUGGCAGGGACUGAGCACAUACUGUAAGAAGCUAAGAUAUUAAAGUAUGGUAAGGACAGCAAAUAUGCUGUUGUUGCAAUAAAACUGGCUCUCAAAAAUUGUUACAGCAGGAAAGGGAGAAAGGGUAGAAACUCCUGCGAAAGUUCAAAGGCAUGCCAGGUUUUCUAGAACUCCAGCUGGUUAUAUAUUAUGGCCUAUUCUUGUGCAAAUUUAAAAACUGAUGGGGCCAGGCAAGGUGGCUCACUCCUGUAAUCCCAGCACUUUGGGAGGCCGAGGCAGGCGGAUCACUUGAGGUCAGGAGUUGAGAACAGCCUCACCAACAUGGUGAAACCCCAUCUCUACUAAGAAUACAAAAAUUAGCUGGGUGUGGUGGCACACGCCUAUAGUCCCAGCUACUAGGGGGGAGGCUGAGGCAUGAGAAAUGCUUGAACUCGGUAGGUGGAGGUUGCAGUGAGCUGAGAUUGCGCCACUGCACUCCAGCCUGGUGACAGAGCAAGACUCCAUUUCAAAAACAAACAAAUAAACAAACAAACAAAAACUGAUGGAAAAUUAUGACAAAGAAUUUCAGAGCUCAAAUGGUUAAUCUGCAGCUACAGCAUUAAGGAGAGUCUUUUAAAUGUCUCUAUUUCUCUUUCCUCUUCUACCUGCUUUGAAUCUGCUGUUACUAAGCUACCAAUGUUGAGAUAAAACUCACUAAUUGAAAGAUACUUGGAGAUUUUGUUUUUCUUAUAUUGUUCAACCAGUUGUAGCUAAAAUGUAAACAGUAAAAGCUCAUUUGAAACUGAAAAGGGGGUAAAAGAGGUUUUUUAAAAAUAAAACUGUUAUAGAAACUGUUUACCCAAAGUUUUGGUCCACAACCUUCCUUGGAUUGCCUAUUAGGGAAAAGUUUAGCCAUGUGAAUAGGUCCCAGUUUUGUCAAAUAUAAUUUGGAUCCAGCUGUCUGUUGUAAAAUAAUGAGAUUUGAUGCUGUCUCAUGGAUAAAGUUCUGAAGUAAAGCUAUUGGAUCUUUGUGUGUGCUUAUACAUGUUUAAAUGUGUUUAUAUACAUGUACAUGUACAUGUAGUGUUAUAUAUUGUGUCCAGCAUGCUACCAAAUUGGCUCAUAAGGAAAUGAGUACUUAUAAAUGAAAUAAGUCUGAAUGCUUUUUAGGUCCACAUGAAUUUAAUAAUUGUUAAUAAAUAAGCUAGCUUUGAAAUUAUUGGUAAGAUAAAAAGAAAAAUGUCUUCAAAAGUGUCAGACACAUUUUUGCCUGGGUUUACUCAUUAGAUAAGUUUUCUAUUUGCUUCUGCUAGAUAUUUUAAGGUGUCAGGGUUUGACAUAAAGUUGGUAAGACCCUAAACCCAGCCCUAGCCUGAAUGAUCUUUGUGUGAUUUUUUAAUAAGCAAGACUAAUUUGAUAUUGUUGGUUUAAUAAAAAUAGCUACAUUGUCUGAGUUAUUGGCAAAACACAUGUCCACGUGUUUAGCUUUAAGGUUCUUGCUUAGAUGAAUAUCUAAUAUUUACAGUCUAUAAAAAUAAUUAAUAAAA